ACAUGCAAGGUCGAACGGCAGCACGGAGCAAGUCCUGGUGGCGAGUGGCGAACGGGUGAGUUAAUAUAUCGGAACGUGCCCAGGUCGUGGGGGAUAACGUAGCGAAAGCUACGCUAAUACGCAUACGAUCUAUGGAUGAAAGCGGGGGAUCGCAAGACCUCGCGCGAUUGGAGCGGCCGAUAUCAGAUUAGGUAGUUGGUGAGGUAAAGGCUCACCAAGCCGACGAUCUGUAGCUGGUCUGAGAGGACGACCAGCCACACUGGGACUGAGACACGGCCCAGACUCCUACGGGAGGCAGCAGUGGGGAAUUUUGGACAAUGGGCGCAAGCCUGAUCCAGCAAUGCCGCGUGCAGGAUGAAGGCCUUCGGGUUGUAAACUGCUUUUGUACGGAACGAAACGGUGAGCUCUAAUACAGUUUGCUAAUGACGGUACCGUAAGAAUAAGCACCGGCUAACUACGUG
This 461-nucleotide ribosomal RNA is filed under the name uncultured bacterium. RNAcentral describes it as "bacterial SSU rRNA". It matches the Rfam family "Bacterial small subunit ribosomal RNA", at positions 53 to 507 of the family's 1533-position model. The record is from RNAcentral.